Chrysemys picta bellii (western painted turtle) is the source of this 923-nucleotide non-coding RNA. The record is from RefSeq and is a predicted model, not a curated record. Lineage: Eukaryota; Metazoa; Chordata; Testudines; Emydidae.
CAUGUAGUAAAGGAGAGAACUCUAUAGACUGAUGGCCUCUGCUGUAUGAAUCGGCAUUGCUCCAUUGAUUUUAUACCAGCGGAUAAUCUGACCCUAUGCUCACAAAAGAGCAAUGAAUCCGUCAGACUGCACAGUACUAAGGGCCUGAUCCUAAGCCAGUUUGGGAGACACAUGCCUCAUGCAUGGAAACACAAGAGCCUUUUCCAGCACCGCAUUUGUUCUUUGGAACAUCCUCCUUGGUUGGAUAUAUAUUUGAUCCCACAUAAUUAAGUUCGUCUGCUGCCUCUACAGUUUGUCUGUUAAUUGUGAUGUCAGCUUGCAUCCAGUUUUUGUUAGUUUGUCAGUGUACAUCUUGUUUCCAUUGCAUUCAGUCCAUAUUCCUCACUAGCUGUUUUUACAGAGUCCAGUAUUUAUUUCAGUAUUUAUCGGUGGUUGUAGCAAAGAGUGUUGUGUCAUCAACAUAUCUCAGGUUGGUUAAGAGGUGUCCACUAUUGGAAAUUCCAGUGUCUUCUGCUUUGUCAAGACCUUCUGAGGCUUAUCUCAUAAUAAAUUCUGUGAAUAUGUUAAAGAGGCUUGGGGACAAAAUACACCCUUGUCUCACACCUUACUCUGUGGAAAACCACUCACUGUCAAAUCCUGCUGCUCUCACCAUAGUCUGUUUGUGGUGAGUUCAGUUAGAUGCUUUGGAAACCGAUGUUUGCCAGUAUACUCCAAAGGCAGUCAUGUUAGAUGGUAUAAAACACUUUUCAGUAGUCAGUAGAGCACAAUGAAGCACUGACUGCAUUUUUCAGUUGUGUGACAGGUAUUCACAAUUUGGUCACAAUCUUUUCUGAAACUAACCUGUUGUGGUGAUAGUUUUGCUUCUAUCCUUCAUUUUAUACGAUCCUGGAAUAUGUGGAGUAGACCUUUUCUUGCACAAUACU